Molecule: ribosomal RNA, 324 nt
Filed under: uncultured eukaryote
Lineage: Eukaryota
Description: partial 18S ribosomal RNA
Rfam family: Eukaryotic small subunit ribosomal RNA
Source: RNAcentral
CCCUUAGAUGUUCUGGGCUGCACGUGCGCUACACUGAUGCAUUCAACGAGUUUCUUCCUGGUCCGAGAGGAAUGGGUAACCUUUUGAAAGUGCAUCGUGAUAGGGAUAGACUAUUGCAAUUAUUGGUCUUCAACGAGGAAUUCCUAGUAGACGUAGUUCAUCAGACUGCAUCGAUUACGUCCCUGCCCUUUGUACACACCGCCCGUCGCUCCUACCGAUUGAAUGCUCAGGUGAGCCAUUCGGACUUUCAUCAUGCUGGUUUCCAGUUUUGAUGAAGGAAAGUCUUGCGAACCUUAUCAUUUAGAGGAAGGAGAAGUCGUAACA